UAAUAUAAUGGCAUAAAACUGUUAAUUUAAACAAAAAAAAAUGGGAAACGCGUAGAAAAAAAAAAGGAUAAUCCACUUACUGCACCUUUGUUGUGCCUAUCCUCAUAAUACCCCUGAGUCCCAGUUGCUGGAUUUAACCACAAUGCUUUCCGAUUUCCAGAGAAGCAGCAGCAGCACUCCAGCUUUCAUCAUUAGCAUUCCCAAUUAUAAGCGUUUUGUCCCAGUGCCUUUGCAGCAAAGCCCAAACCUCUGCAAGGGCUGAACCCUCAUGGCAGCACUGACGCAGGGGCAUGCUCUCUUUGUGAGAACAGGGAGAGGGAAAAACAAAGUGGGAGAGGGAGAGAGGGAGAAGAAAAAAAACAAGCAAUGAAGAGACAAGGAUGAGAAAAAGAGAAAGUCAGUGAGAACAGAAAGAGAGGAAGAAGAGAAAGAGGAGUUUAUCUUCACUGAGAACCCAGAAAGACUGGAGAGGGACCUCCCUUGAGAAACUUGCUACAGUUCAGCAUGUUGGACUUCUGUCAGCGGAAACUCCCAACCCUAAACAUACUGCUCAGUUCAGUACUCCCAUCCCCUCAGUUAUCCCUAGCACCCAACAGGAAAGGUGAAAGUAGGCCAAAAUGCCGACAAAAUUGAUUCCUGAUAUAACUUAUUCUAUCAUUCAAUCUUCUUCCAAGGGCAAGACUCCAGAAAAUCACAGCCCAGAUGAGCUUAUGAGAUGCAUAAACUCCUAUCUGCCCACUCUUCAGGUUCUUCUGUCACCAUACUUUGUUCAGGAGCUCUAGGUGUGUUUGCUUUUUAUUUGUUUUGUUGGCUGGUAUUUGUUUGUCUUUAUUUUGUUCUACUUCUUUUGGCUGCUACUAAUCUAUAUACAACUGUGAUAUAGGCUCCCAGCAACUUCCUCUAGUAACUUUUUCCUGAAUUUGUCAUCUCUCAGUAGGAAAUACCACAGAAUUCCUGCCAUCUGUAACUACAGGUGCGAAUUAUGGAUGCAAACCAGAGUGAAGGUCUGCAGUACUCAGCACACGGCAGAUUGGUUUGGCAGCGGUGCGAGCUGGAGGGAGUCCCAGAGCAGUGUCGGAUUGCCAUCUGCCGGCCGUUCCUUGCCUCUGGCAGUUCUGCUCCACGGAUUUCAUCUGAUUUCAUCACCCAGAAGUUCAGGAAGGCCGUGACAUCUGGGAUACAAGUUCCCACCGCUGUAGGCAUACCUGCUGAACUGUCAUUCCCAUUUCACAAGUCAUAAAAUAUUUCAUUCAGUUUUGAAACAGUGUAUCUGUUGCAACAGAGAUGUUCUGGACUUCACCAUUCCUACCUGCUGAACCAGUCCCACUGUCAUCUUUAGUGCCCAAUCAGAUCUGGUCUGAUUUUGCUUCCAUAGAGACUAUGUGUAGAACGGUUGCUGUGCAGUUUCAGAUAUUAGGCUUAUAGCUUCCUGCCUUCACACUGCCAUUUCUCCUCACUGUCACCAGCCAAACCUGCCAGUAGCUUGGGUCUCUGGCUCAAGUGCUGAGGAAUUAUGGUAAGACGGAAUGCAGGCGGCUGCUUUUAGGAACCUUUCCAUGUCAAAAGCAUGAAGCCUUGUGCUUGGUAGUGGCAACCAGUAGCUGACCAUCUCCCAGGACUGGACACAUUGCCAGUGGGUGUGCAAAACUAAUGCCGGUGACUGCACAGUCAUUCACUGUGUGAAUGAUCAUGCAGGUGACACUGUCCCACAGGUCAGUGGUUACUGAGCCAUUACUGUUUGUAGGGAAAUUGUGCACACAACAGCACUCAGAUUGUGAGGGUCUGUGCUAGAACUGCCUCUGCCUCCCACCUGGGGAGCCUUUCACCAUCAGAGCUGGACAGUUCCAUACCUGGAGCAGGCUGAUGGGAAAAGUAGAGACAGGACGAAGCCUGGAGCAGCCCCCAGGACUCCCUUACUAGAUCAGUCAAUGCCAAGGCAGCAAAGGAGCAAUGUUACCAAUAACCAAUAGAAAAUCAAUGGAAAACAAUGGCAUUAAGAAGCAGUUUCAUGACCUGAAACGCGAGUGAUGCCCACUUUGCUCCUGACUGGGCUCCUGGGAUCAGCUGAACACAUUGACUGGAGACCUACACUUAUAGAUACUGUUCCCUGUGUGGACUGUAUGGUGAUGUGGUGUGAGCUCACCCACUUCUGGUCCUCCAGCUAUGAACAGCCACCAAUGUUCCACCUCCAAAUGGCUAUUUUCGCAAAACCCAUGUGAGCUUAGCUGUCUUUGUAUGCU
RNAcentral lists this long non-coding RNA (2240 nucleotides) under Numida meleagris (helmeted guineafowl). RNAcentral describes it as "lncRNA (ENSNMEG00000008400.1)". Lineage: Eukaryota; Metazoa; Chordata; Aves; Galliformes; Numididae. The record is from RNAcentral.